UAUUUUUCUAUGUAUUCUUUUCAGGGCCACUUUAGGAAAAAAGCAGCCUUGUGUUGCUGGAACAAUUUGUUCAUAAUUCUGGAUUAGUCUGGGACUGCUUUUUCAUAAACAGCAGUUGAAGGCCCAUCCAUUUGGCUCAGGAGGUCCUCUGUGAGGAGAUUUGGUCCUUGUGCAUUUCUCUCUCCGUCUCUGCCGCAGCAAAAGACAAGGAAAUGGAAGCGUACAGUCAUUUGCCCAAGGUCAGAGAACCAGUAAAGGAGGAUUCCAACUCAGAGCCAUGCAUGAAACUUGGCAAAUGGAUAGUGAAUUAGUGGUAGAAGAGGUGAGCAAAUGAAUGAAUGAGACCUGUGGGUAGGAGUAAAAGACAAACUCAGGAAAGCACAAGUGAUGGUGACCAGCAGCUUCUAAACUCUGUUGAUGCGGUGACUUGAUCAAGAUAGCCAAACACCUGAGUUUCUGUCUGCUCCAGCAAGUCACAUGCAGCAUCUAAAGGAAUUGCAGAACAGUUUCAUUCCCGACGUGGUUCACCCAACACUUUACUCUGCCUAUGGACACUGUCCCCUGACCCCUACAAGAUUUCCUCCUUCGCCACCCAUCCCCAAUACAUCCUCACACAAAUCACUUUGCAGUGACUUUCAAUAUCAGUUGAACUGGGGGUGGAGAAAAAAGAAAAAAAGGAAAAAAAGAACCUUAAAGAAAAAAAAAUCUACUUUGCACAGGUGCAAUGACACCCCUUGAUGAAGAAAGGCUCCCUGGAUGCCUACAACAGAACCCAGUUUUGCACAAUAACCCCGGCUGCAAUGUGAGGCUUUGGAGUAAUGUGAUCUGUUUUCACACAGCCUAGUGUUAGGGUGCUGCUGCCACUCACUCUAAAGAUCCCAUCAGCUUUCCUUGAAGGAGGUGUUCCAGUGUGUUCAUUCUCCCACUGUUUGCUUUCAUCACCCUCGUGCUCAAGGUUUGAAUACCAUAAUCACAAUGCAGAGAGUGUUGGGAGGUAUUUAUUUUUAUCCCAACUGCCAGCAUCAUCACAGUGUGUGUGAUCCAAAUUUACACUCUGCAUAUACACAGCAUGUGGCCCUGCUGCCGAGCCAACUGCUUUCCCU
Long non-coding RNA from Piliocolobus tephrosceles (Ugandan red Colobus), 1103 nucleotides. RefSeq lists it as uncharacterized. The record is from RefSeq and is a predicted model, not a curated record. NCBI's taxonomy places the organism in Eukaryota, Metazoa, Chordata, Mammalia, Primates, Cercopithecidae. The transcript is spliced from 5 exons.